AGCAGCCGCGGUAAUUCCAGCUCCAAUAGCGUAUAUUAAAGUUGCUGCAGUUAAAAAGCUCGUAGUUGAAUUUCGGGGUCAAUAUGUUGGUCGUGCCUUGGUACGUACUAGCUUAUUGAUUUCUCCUUUCUGACGAACCAUGAUGUCAUUAAUUUGGUGUCAUGGGGAAUCAGGACUGUUACUUUGAAAAAAUUAGAGUGUUUAAAGCAGGCUCGCGCUUGAAUACAUUAGCAUGGAAUAAUGAAAUAGGACAUUUGAUUCUAUUUUGUUGGUUUCUAGGAUCGAUGUAAUGAUUAAUAGGGAUAGUUGGGGGCAUUAGUAUUCAAUUGUCAGAGGUGAAAUUCUUGGAUUUAUUGAAGACUAACUACUGCGAAAGCAUUUUGCCAAGGAUGUUUUCAUUAAUCAAAACGAAAGUUAGGGAUCGAAGACGAUCAGAUACCGUCGUAGUCUUAACCAUAAACUAUGCCGACUAGGGAUCGG
This 480-nucleotide ribosomal RNA is filed under the name uncultured Glomus. Its description in RNAcentral is "SSU rRNA". It matches the Rfam family "Eukaryotic small subunit ribosomal RNA", at positions 569 to 1056 of the family's 1831-position model. Lineage: Eukaryota; Fungi; Glomeromycota; Glomeromycetes; Glomerales; Glomeraceae. The record is from RNAcentral.